CCACAUGGUAGACCAGAAACACCUCGAGACCACAUGGUAGACCAGAAACACCUCGAGACCACAUGGUAGACCAGAAACACCUCGAGACCACAUGGUAGACCAGAAAAACCUCGAGACCACAUGGUGGACCAGAAACACCUCGAGACCACAUGGUGGACCAGAAACACCUCGAGACCACAUGGUGGACCAGAAACACCUCGAGACCACAUGGUGGACCAGAAACACCUCGAGACCACAUGGUGAAUCCUCUGUCAGCAGCAUCGUGUUUCUGGUCUGACUGAUUGAUGAGAGCCAAUCAGGAAGCCAAACGUGAGCGUCUGUGUCAUCACGCCACCCCAGAGUUUAAAACCAAAACAGGGUGGUGUUCCUGUACGAGCGCAGCGGGAACUACCUGUGGCACGGAGCGUUACGCCUCAAAGCCAACGUGGACCGAAGCUUCGCUCCUUUCAAGCUGCUGGACUACGGGCGCAACGCCGGGGCGUACGACAGGCCGGAGCUAGUCCUGACGGUCCUGGACGGCCUCGACGUUAGAGUCCCGCGUAAUGUUUCCCGCUUCCUGUCCGAGCAGCGACACGCCCGCUUCCUGGAGUGCCGUUACCGUGACGCCCGCAACUUCCUGCAGGUCAGAAAGCACCCCGGGCUUU
Molecule: RNA transcript, 644 nt
Organism: Micropterus dolomieu (smallmouth bass)
Lineage: Eukaryota; Metazoa; Chordata; Actinopteri; Centrarchiformes; Centrarchidae
Gene name: fukutin-like
Exons: 3
Source: RefSeq, a predicted model, not a curated record